GAAGGCCUUAGGGUCGUAAAGCUCUUUCGCUGGGGAAGAUAAUGACUGUACCCAGUAAAGAAACCCCGGCUAACUCCGUGCCAGCAGCCGCGGUAAUACGGAGGGGGUUAGCGUUGUUCGGAAUUACUGGGCGUAAAGCGCGCGUAGGCGGAUCAGAAAGUUGGGGGUGAAAUCCCGGGGCUCAACCUCGGAACUGCCUCCAAAACUCCUGGUCUUGAGUUCGAGAGAGGUGAGUGGAAUUCCGAGUGUAGAGGUGAAAUUCGUAGAUAUUCGGAGGAACACCAGUGGCGAAGGCGGCUCACUGGCUCGAUACUGACGCUGAGGUGCGAAAGUGUGGGGAGCAAACAGGAUUAGAUACCCUGGUAGUCCACACCGUAAACGAUGAAUGCCAGUCGUCGGCAAGCAUGCUUGUCGGUGACACACCUAACGGAUUA
This 434-nucleotide ribosomal RNA is filed under the name Salipiger marinus. Its description in RNAcentral is "bacterial SSU rRNA". It matches the Rfam family "Bacterial small subunit ribosomal RNA", at positions 410 to 862 of the family's 1533-position model. The record is from RNAcentral. Lineage: Bacteria; Pseudomonadati; Pseudomonadota; Alphaproteobacteria; Rhodobacterales; Roseobacteraceae.